UUUUAAAAAAAAUAAGAAAUUAUACCUAACUAGUUCGCUUUUAACUUAAAAAAAAAACUUCAAAUAUCACUUCUGUAGUUUCGUACUUUUUUACUUUAGUACCUUAUAGUUUAAAGCGUAUUAAUUUAGUAUCCUGUGGUUUCGCACUUUCUCACUUUAGUACCCUGUGGUUUAAAGUGCACCAAUUUAGUACCCUGUGGUUUUAUUUUUCUCGUUUCGCCGGCUUCUUUGUUCAUAUUUUGUUAAAUUAUACACAAAAAAUCUCAUAUACCUUAUCUAGGUUUAUCGAAUAUUUACUUUAGUUUCCUUUAUUUUUAACUCUAUUAUUGAUUUUUUUUUCUCCGUUAAUAUUUUGUUAAAUUAUAUACAAAAAACUUCAUAUACCCUACAUAGGUUUAUCGAAUAUUCACUUUAGUACCCUUUAAUUUUAACUUUGUCACUGAUUUAACGAAAAAAAUUAGUGAAAUGGAUAAUAAAAAAAAAAUAAAACCAUAGGGUACUAAUUUAAUACACUUUAAACCAUAGGAUACUAAAGUGAGAAAGUGCAAAACUACAGGGGCUAACUUGAUACACUUUAAACCACAUGGUACUAAAGUGAGAAAGUGUGAAAUCACAAGGGGGGUAUUUGAAGUUUACCCCUUAAUUAAAGAACAAAUUUAUAAACCAUUUCUCAAAUUACAAAACUUGAUUACAAAUUUAAAAAAUGAUAUUUGAAAGAAAGAUGAAGCUAUUUCAUCUAUUAAUAAAUAAAUUAAAAACAUACAAUAUAAUUUUCACAUACUCUUUGGUAGCAUUUGGUUCAGAAACAAGGGGGAAAUAAGCCCUUGUUCCCCCUAUUGUUUCCAAACGUAGUGUUUGGUAUCCGAGAGCAAUAAUUCUUAAAUUUUUGGAAUAAGCCGGUAUAAAGUUGGAAUUGUUGUUCCACCUUUUUUCUGGAACAAGCUUGUUGCAAUGUGAGAAUAAGAUUAAUUAAACUCUAAAAAUAAUUUUAAUUAUAGUAUUAAUUAAUUAAUUAAUUAAUUUAAUAUAUUUAAAAUAUUAUUUAAUACUUAAAUAAUAAAAUAAUUUAUUAAUUUAUUAUUAUAAUUAUUAAUUAAAUUAUUAUUAUUUAUAAUUAUUAAUAAUUACUUAAUUUAUUAAUUUAUUAAUUUAUAAUUAACUAAUUUAUCAUUAAUUUAUUCUUAGUUAAUUAAUUUAUUAAAAUUAUUAUUUAUAAUUAUUAAUAAUUUAUGAUUAUUAAUUAUUUAAUUUACUAUUAAUUAAUGUAUUAUUAUUUAUAAUUAUUAUUAAUUUAUUAUUUAUACUAUAUUAUCUAAUUAAUUUAUUAUUAAUAAUUUAUUAUUUAUAAUUUAUUAUCUAAUUAAUUUUUUAUUAACUACUUAAUUUAUUAUUUAUAAUUAUUUAUAAUUUAUUAUUUAAUUAUAAUUAUUUAAUUAAUUUAUUUUUAUAAUUAUUAAUAUUAAUUUAUUAUUUUAAAGUAAUAUUUUGAUGUUUUUUAAUUAGAUAAAAUAUUUUUAAUUUAAAAUUAUAACUCUUAUUUCUUUUGUUCUAAUCUAGCCAUCCAAACACUAUUUAUCUUAUUCCUAGGACCCAAUUUUCAUCCGAAUGCAAAAUUGGUCUAGUUCCUGCUUAUACCUAAACUCGUACCUAUCCCUGAAAUAAGCAGUUUUUAUUCAUACCCGAACCAAACGCAGCCUUUAAAUUUAACUAAUUAUAUUCAUUUUUAAUUGAAUAUUUAAUUUUUCAAAAUUUUAAUUUUACUAUUCAAUAUUUCUAAUGUGUUAUUAGAUUUGAUUCAGUCAACGAUAUUUUGAUUUUAAAAUAUAAACACAUUAUUUAUUUUUACAAAUUUAAUUCUUAUACUUUAUUAAACUAUAAAUUUAUAUUAAAAUAAAUUAUUAAUUUAAAUUUUGAACUUAAAAUAUCGUUUCUAACAACUCAAUCCAUAGUUUCGAUAAAUUAUGUAUAUAUAUAUUUUUUUAUAUUUUAUUUUUUUGAAAAUAUUUUACUCAAAAAUUAAAGUGUCGUGGCACGAAGUCGUGCGGAAACUUGCUAGCACGGUACGACACAAUGCUUGUUGGACAGUGUUAAUGCAUGCCAGUCAAAAAAAUAAAUGUAUGCCGACACGUAAUGACGUAAAUUUUUUUUUAAUAAUAAAAUAUGUCAAUUAUUUAUUAUAUAUUUUUAUCAAAUUUUUAAAAUUUUAUUAAGAAAAUUAUUUACUAAUUUCAAAAAUAAAAGAUUUUGAAUUGUGUUAUCGGUACGAAAACUGUAUUAUAUCAAUAUCUUACUGAUAUGAUAUGGUACGAUGGAUAAAAUUUGUGUUGAUGGA
Molecule: long non-coding RNA, 2332 nt
Filed under: Ananas comosus (pineapple)
Lineage: Eukaryota; Viridiplantae; Streptophyta; Magnoliopsida; Poales; Bromeliaceae
Description: long non-coding RNA (ACOM_LNC025541)
Source: RNAcentral